CCAUUAGAUGAUGAAGAAUUGGUAGCUUUUAUCCUUAAUGGACUUGAUUCAGAUUACAAUGCUGUAACAUCUGCUCUUGUAACUAGGGUAGAACCUAUUUCUCUCCGUGAAUUGUUCUCUCAGCUGCUAAGUUUUGAAA
Small nucleolar RNA from Panicum virgatum (switchgrass), 139 nucleotides. RefSeq annotates it as small nucleolar RNA Z247. The record is from RefSeq and is a predicted model, not a curated record. NCBI's taxonomy places the organism in Eukaryota, Viridiplantae, Streptophyta, Magnoliopsida, Poales, Poaceae. The transcript has a single exon.